Molecule: ribosomal RNA, 336 nt
Filed under: Candacia sp. USNM IZ 1448527
Lineage: Eukaryota; Metazoa; Arthropoda; Copepoda; Calanoida; Candaciidae
Description: SSU rRNA
Source: RNAcentral
UAAGGUGAAACCGCGAAUGGCUCAUUAAAUCACACCUAAUCUAUUGGAAUGUUAGCAGUUACUUGGAUAACUGAGGUAAUUCUUGAGCUAAUACAUGCGAAAAAUCUCGACUCACGAAGAGAUGCUUUUAUUAGACCAAACCAAUCRGCUUCGGCUGAACAAYUGGUGACUCUGAAUAACUUUGGGCUGAUCGCAUUGCCUUGUGCAGGCGACAUUUCCUAUGAAGGUGUGCCCUAUCAACUGUCGACUGUGAUAUAGACGCUCACAGUGGUUUUGACGGGUAACGAGGAAUCUGGGUUCGAUUUCGGAGAGGGAGCCUUAAAAACGGCUACCACA